GGCUGGGGGUCAUGGGUACGUAACUUCCUUCCCGACAAACACAAAAGAAGCUCUCCCAAAUUGUUUGGUACGCAAGUUGCUUGUCGCUGGUCGGUACAAACCGCGCACUUCAUGCUGGGUUUUGGUUGCGAACAACUCCCUCGCUGUGGUCUGGACUGUCAUCUCCUCCCUACUCCUGUUUCCCUGUGACUACCAAUGCGAAUGCUGACCGUGGAGCUGACACACUUCCCUCCUCUGCUCCUG
Molecule: long non-coding RNA, 243 nt
Organism: Alosa alosa (allis shad)
Lineage: Eukaryota; Metazoa; Chordata; Actinopteri; Clupeiformes; Clupeidae
Exons: 3
Source: RefSeq, a predicted model, not a curated record